This 1021-nucleotide long non-coding RNA is filed under the name Ursus maritimus (polar bear). Its description in RNAcentral is "lncRNA (ENSUMAG00000005804.1)". The record is from RNAcentral. Lineage: Eukaryota; Metazoa; Chordata; Mammalia; Carnivora; Ursidae.
AGUGGGUUCCCGUGCACCCACACAACUUUGCAUACGUGGGGCAGUGACACUGUGUGGAUGCCUGCUGUGAAUGGCCUCUGGCCGUGAGCGUCUGAGUGCCUGCUGUUUCAUCUGGAACUUCUCUUAACCUGAAGAGAAGCGAACACUUUAAACUUGGAAGGAGAGCAAAGGGAACAUCACUGCAAACAGUACUGGUCACAUGUAUAACGUUUCUGAGUAAGUGUUGAAUUCAGUAGCUUAAACUCAGGACAUUUCAAAAAACUCAAUAGCUACAGCUCACUUUUGUUUCAUUUCAUAGUAGAAAAAUAUAUCAGACUAUUCAAGUUCUUGUCCAGACCUUCGUUUUUAAUGUAAACGUGGAUGCUUAUGCUUAGUGAUAGAUGAUGCCAUCUCGCUUCCUCAGGUUUCCUCUCCGGACCUGCACUCUGCAUUGUCCUCCUCUUCAUGGGCAGUGGCCGAGGCUCGACCGGUGAUGUUUCCCCCAUUCUUCCCUCUUUCAAGACCAGAGUCCGAAGUAGCGAAUUCAGACGGUAUCGUGUGGGCUGGGAAAUACUGAACAGAUCCCAGGUAGCUGUUGGUCUAAGGAAAACAAAGGAUGAGUGGAGCUGGCUUGAACCUGAGCUGUGUUCCGAAGCAGAACUUCCCCAGGCUCCUCUCAGUGGGAAGCUAUUGAAGAUUGUUGGACAGCAGUGUCUAUAGCCUGAAUGAGGAAGAGAGUUUAUUGCCAGUACCUGAAAUAAUGGAUACAAUGGAUGGACACAUUUGAGAAGCUGUGUUCACGUUGAGUCAGUUCUGGUGAGUCUUCCAUGAGAUGUUCUACACAGGCAGGUGGAGAGGCAAGCACCGUGGCUGUAGGUGUGAGAGUCAUUGCCACUGACAUGGCUGUUAGUGCUAAAACCAUGAAAUUCAACAAGUUUUUCUAGAACAGUGAGUUUAAGUAGGGAAGAUGGGUGUGUCCGGGGUAUAACCCUUAAGUGGGAGGGAAUGAAAUAAAAUCUAAUUAGAAGAUGGGAGGAGGAAG